RNAcentral lists this long non-coding RNA (357 nucleotides) under Citrus maxima (pomelo). RNAcentral describes it as "long non-coding RNA (CMAX_LNC001536)". Lineage: Eukaryota; Viridiplantae; Streptophyta; Magnoliopsida; Sapindales; Rutaceae. The record is from RNAcentral.
UUAUAAAGGGGCGAAGACGGACGAGAAGGAAGUUGCGUGACAAGUGGUGCGAAUCGAAAGUAAGCGACGGUGUGCAACAAGUUUAAUUAAAUUAAAAAUAUAAAAGAAUAAAGCUUAUAUUUUGUAUUAUACUGUACCAAUAGGCAGAAGGGAGUGGAGCACGUUUGGCUAUUGGAUUGAGGCAUGAGCUUUCUUGGUGACCAAGGGCGGUUCAAGUCGGUCAAACCCCUGCCCAAUAUUUACUACAUGUGGGGCUAUUAAGCUUUUUAGUCAGUCAGUCUUUGAAGACUUCUUCCAAGUCAAAUCACAUACUUUUCGAACCAAACGCGGUGUUAUUGUUAUCUUGUAGCAGCCGGC